This 462-nucleotide ribosomal RNA is filed under the name uncultured bacterium. RNAcentral describes it as "partial 16S ribosomal RNA". It matches the Rfam family "Bacterial small subunit ribosomal RNA", at positions 28 to 507 of the family's 1533-position model. The record is from RNAcentral.
GACGAACGCUGGCGGCGUGCUUAACACAUGCAAGUCGAACGGUGAAGCCCUUCGGGGUGGAUCAGUGGCGAACGGGUGAGUAACACGUGAGCAACCUGCCCCUGGCUCUGGGACAACCACUGGAAACGGUGGCUAAUACCGGAUACGACCCGCCUCGGCAUCGAGUGUGGGUGGAAAGUUUUUCGGCUGGGGAUGGGCUCGCGGCCUAUCAGCUUGUUGGUGAGGUGAAGGCUCACCAAGGCGACGACGGGUAGCCGGCCUGAGAGGGCGACCGGCCACACUGGGACUGAGGCACGGCCCAGACUCCUACGGGAGGCAGCAGUGGGGAAUAUUGCACAAUGGGCGAAAGCCUGAUGCAGCGACGCCGCGUGAGGGAUGACGGCCUUCGGGUUGUAAACCUCUUUCAGCUCCGAAGAAGCGAAAGUGACGGUAGGAGCAGAAGAAGCACCGGCUAACUACGUG